AAAAUAAUCCUACCCUUUGUGAAUUUUGUUUGUUUGAAUAAUUUUUUUUUUAAAAAUUAUUGGAGUCUUUCCCUUUAGAGUUUGCUUUUGAGUUUGUAAAAGAAUUCGAAAACAUCUAAAGGGGAUGGUAAUAAUUUUUUUUGAAAAAAGACAUUUUUUAAAAUUAAACUUUUUGUAUUCAUUUGUCUAAAAAUUAUUUUUAUAAUAUAAAAACAACUUUUGACAAUGGAUCUCUUGGUUCUCGCAACGAUGAAGAACGCAGCAAAAUGCGAUAAGUAGUGUGAAUUGCAGAAUACGUGAAUCAUCGAAUCUUUGAACGCAUAUUGCACUUUUUUAGUUUACUAAAAAAGUAUGUCUGUUUGAGUAUCAGUAAAAUAUUCUCAUAAAAAUCAUUGUGUAUUUUAUGGUUAUGAGUGUUUUACAACGAUACAAGUUGUUUCACUUUAAAUUUUUUUUAAUAUUGAAAUUUUUCUAAUUUUAAUAAUUAAAAUUGGAUAAAAUUUUCCCGUCAAAAGGAAUAACCUAAACAAUUUUAAAUGAUUAAUUUUAGCAAAAUUUUCGUAAAAAGGAAAAUUUUUAUUAAAAUAACUUGAUCUCAAAUCAGAUAAGAGUACCCGCUGAACUUAAGCAUAUCAAUAGGCGGAGGAAAGAAACUAACAAGGAUUCCCUUAGUAACGGCGAGUGAAGCGGGAAGAGCUCAAAUUUGAAAUCUUCAAGGUUUUACCUUGACGAAUUGUAGUUUAAAGAAGUGUUUUCUGCUGAAGUUUUGGUAAAAGUUCUUUGGAAUAGGACAUCAUAGAGGGUGAGAAUCCCGUAUUUGACCAUUAUUUUCAGCUUUGUGAUACACUUUCAAAGAGUCGGAUUGUUUGGGAAUGCAGUCCAAAAUGGGUGGUAAAUUUCAUCUAAAGCUAAAUAUUGGCGAGAGACCGAUAGCGAACAAGUACCGUGAGGGAAAGAUGAAAAGAACUUUGAAAAGAGAGUUAAACAGUACGUGAAAUUGUCAAAAGGGAAGCGUUUGACACCAGUGUUGUUUUCUCGAAAAUCAAUUAAAAAUGGCUCGAUUUUGUAUUGCUUGAGACCUUAAAAGCUCACUGUACAUUUUUCGUGUCUUUUUAAUGCACUUUUCGUUUAACAAGUCAACAUCAGUUUCUUUUGCUGUAAAAGGUCAUUGGAAGGUGGCUUCUUUCGGAGAAAGUGUUUAUAGCCUUUGGCCUCUGCAAUCGGAGAGACUGAGGUCUGCAGCGUAGACUCUUCGGGUUAGAUACAUUUGUGCUAAGUUAUAGCUUUUUAUAGACAACUUGUUGACUAUAAUUAGUCUUGUAGCUUACUCGCUUAUGCUAUUUUACCUACGCUUAGGAUG
RNAcentral lists this unclassified non-coding RNA (1360 nucleotides) under uncultured Neocallimastigales. RNAcentral's name for it is "partial contains internal transcribed spacer 1, 5.8S ribosomal RNA, internal transcribed spacer 2, and large subunit ribosomal RNA". The stretch from base 591 to 1360 matches the Rfam family "Eukaryotic large subunit ribosomal RNA", at positions 1 to 628 of the family's 3401-position model. Lineage: Eukaryota; Fungi; Neocallimastigomycota; Neocallimastigomycetes; Neocallimastigales. The record is from RNAcentral.